Molecule: ribosomal RNA, 1211 nt
Filed under: uncultured Gammaproteobacteria bacterium
Lineage: Bacteria; Pseudomonadati; Pseudomonadota; Gammaproteobacteria
Description: bacterial SSU rRNA
Rfam family: Bacterial small subunit ribosomal RNA
Source: RNAcentral
AGAGUUUGAUCCUGGCUCAGAACGAACGCUGGCGGCAUGCCUAACACAUGCAAGUCGAACGAAGGCCCUAGCUUGCUAGGUUACCUUAGUGGCGGACGGGUGAGUAACGCGUGGGAACCUGCCCUGGAGCGGGGGACAACCACUGGAAACGGUGGCUAAUACCGCAUACGCCCUUCGGGGGAAAGGCUUCGGCCACUCCUGGAUGGUCCCGCGUCUGAUUAGCUAGUUGGUGAGGUAAUGGCUCACCAAGGCGACGAUCAGUAGCUGGUUUGAGAGGAUGAUCAGCCACACUGGGACUGAGACACGGCCCAGACUCCUACGGGAGGCAGCAGUGGGGAAUAUUGGACAAUGGGGGAAACCCUGAUCCAGCAAUGCCGCGUGAGUGAAGAAGGCCCUAGGGUUGUAAAGCUCUUUCGCCGGUGAAGAUGAUGACUGUAACCGGUAAAGAAGCCCCGGCUAACUCCGUGCCAGCAGCCGCGGUAAUACGGAAGGUCCAAGCGUUAAUCGGAAUUACUGGGCGUAAAGCGCGCGUAGGUGGUUUAUUAAGUUGGGUGUGAAAGCCCCGGGCUCAACCUGGGAACUGCAUCCAAAACUGAUUCACUAGAGUACGAAAGAGGGAGGUAGAAUUCACAGUGUAGCGGUGGAAUGCGUAGAUAUUGUGAAGAAUACCAAUGGCGAAGGCAGCCUCCUGGUUCUGUACUGACACUGAGGUGCGAAAGCGUGGGUAGCGAACAGGAUUAGAUACCCUGGUAGUCCACGCCGUAAACGAUGACAACCAGCUGUUGGGAAGCAAUGCUUUUCAGUGGCGCAGCUAACGUCUUAAGUUGUCCGCCUGGGGAGUACGGCCGCAAGGUUAAAACUCAAAUGAAUUGACGGGGACCCGCACAAGCGGUGGAGCAUGUGGUUUAAUUCGAUGCAACGCGAAAAACCUUACCUACUCUUGACAUCCUUGGAAUCUCUUGUAAUGAGAGAGUGCCUUUUGGAACCAAGUGACAGGUGCUGCAUGGCUGUCGUCAGCUCGUGUCGUGAGAUGUUCCGUUAAGUCGGAUAACGAGCGCAACCCUUACCCUUAUUUGCCAGCGGUUCGGCCGGGAACUAUAAGGGGACUGCCGGUGAUAAACCGGAGGAAGGUGAGGACGACGUCAAGUCAUCAUGGCCCUUACGAGUAGGGCUACACACGUGCUACAAUGGGAAGUACAGAGGGACGCCAA